Molecule: long non-coding RNA, 752 nt
Filed under: Rattus norvegicus (Norway rat)
Lineage: Eukaryota; Metazoa; Chordata; Mammalia; Rodentia; Muridae
Description: long non-coding RNA NONRATT007983
Source: RNAcentral
GAAUUGUUAUCUUGUAGGAGCCAUGCACUGCACAGAACUGGACAUACCCGAGUGUCCUCUCAAAGAGUUUCUUCUGAGGUGCCUUAGAGUGUAAUUAGGGCCAUGCUGGGUACAGAUUUCUGCACUAGUGGGGUCCUCUCUGUCCUUGGGUUGAGUUGGAGAGGUCAGUUUCCUUUUUGUAUUAAGCUUUUUCUCUCUUCAUUGCUGGAGAAAUGAUCCACAUAGGAAAAGACCAGGAGGCGGACUGGCGGUUGUACUCCGUUCCGUGUGGUUCAAGUCAGCACUGCUCUGCUAAUUACACGUUUGUGCCGAGGGGUGGAACAUUUUAAUUCAUUAACACAGAGCAUGUAUUUUUCUUAAAAGUGCUGUGUUUGAAGUUGUGAGACUCUCAGCUGCCCUAGCAGUGACUGGUUCUGUGAAAAUAGACGGGCGCAUGGGUACUUCAUAUAAAGCAAGGUUUCGGUCCUAGUAAAAGGCGACAGAAGAGGGUGUUUGCAGAAUGGUUCAGGCGUUGUGUCGUCUCCUCUCUCUUCAGCACGUCUGCUGUGACUGCAAGAAGGACUUUUGCUCCCUUUGUUCGGUCUCACAAGAAAACCUCCGCAGAUGCUCUACAUGUCACCUACUCCAAGAGACAGCCUUCCAGCGCCCUCAGUUGAUGAGACUAAAAGUGAAGGACCUGCGGCAGUAUCUGCUCCUCAGAAACGUACCGACCGACACUUGUCGCGAGAAGGAGGACUUAGUGGAUCUAGUGC